This 232-nucleotide unclassified non-coding RNA is filed under the name uncultured fungus. RNAcentral describes it as "sequence contains ITS1". Lineage: Eukaryota; Fungi. The record is from RNAcentral.
GUAUUGUAUUGCGUUAAACGCGUCAUGCAUUCCAUGAGACUUUGUUACAGAGUGUGUGUAAAGACGUAGAACCACGACAGGAGGACAGAGCCCCCCAUGCCACAGAGCUACAGAGGGUGCACAGGUGUGAGUGGAUGUGUGAACAGAGCGUGCACAUGCCCUCGUUUGAGGACCAGCAACAACCCAUGUCGACGACUCGGUAAUGAUCCUUCCGCAGGUUCACCUACGGAAA